This is a long non-coding RNA of Capsicum annuum, 1207 nucleotides long. RefSeq lists it as uncharacterized. The record is from RefSeq and is a predicted model, not a curated record. The transcript is spliced from 2 exons. NCBI's taxonomy places the organism in Eukaryota, Viridiplantae, Streptophyta, Magnoliopsida, Solanales, Solanaceae.
GCCAGUACAAUAAAUUCAUGUGGUUCGCCCCUUCCCCCAAACCUCAUGUAUUGUAUAAAGAAAGUUUUAAUGCAUUGGCUGCACUUAAUAAUUGUAAGACCCCAUAAAAUUUUAAGUCUAACUCAACUCCUUAAGGCUUGAUAAGAAAAUCCAAUACUUAGAAGAAUUUUUGCUAAGUGUUCAACACUAGUCACAUUUCAAGCCUCCGAACUUCGGGGAUUUAUUUGGCGACCUUCCCGACCUCCGUUUUUUAAUUUUCAAGUUGCGUUGUGAUGGGGAAAGACCCUAGUAUGUCUUGGUCAUAUUUAGAAUGCAUUUUGGGCGCAUUUCAGUGGCUGAACUCACUGGUUUGAAAUGCUCCCGCAUUCCGGGCGCAUUUCAGGCCAAAAUUUUAGGGUCAACUUCAAACGACCAUAACUCCCUGUAUAUAAUGAACUGCGAGGGCUGCUAUAUAUAAAUGGAAAUAUAUUUGAAUCUUCUUUUCUAUGCAAUUAGUUUCAUCCAAAUCCAACGUCGGAGUAAAAAUUUAUGAUCAAUUUACUUCAGCAUAUCAAAACUGUCAACAGAGGGACAGCUGCGUCUUUCUCCCUUUCCUUAGGGGUAUUUUAGUAUUUUUUCCCACCCUACAUAUAUACACAAACACAGUAUUAAGGCUCAUUUGGACCAAAAUAUAUCCCUUUUCAUCAUUUUCUCUCAAGAACAAGAGAAAGGGCUUCAAUUUGAAGACCCAAGUUCAAAGGAUUUCACCGUUAAUCAUCAAGAAUCUUCCAUCUAAGGUUUCGAGACACGAGAUCCAUAGCAGCAGUAGUUGAUCAGUUUCAGCUUUCAGCGUCAAUGGUGAUCCCUCAUCAUCCGAGGACAUAUUAUUCUGUUUCAUCGUUGCAGUACUCGGUUUUAUUUAGUUAUCGGAGUUAGUUGGGGACAUAUCCCAUCAACUCUCUUUUCUGACAGUUAGAGGUUUUUUAGACUAUCAUGUUUUCAGAUAGUAUUUCAGGUUGUUUUGGGUAUUUAUACCCCACCAGAUGUUUGAUAUUCAGUUUGAACAUCAUGGCCUAUCAGCCUUUGUUCCGCAUUAUAUAUAUUAUGCAGUGUACAGGUACAGAUAUCAGUCAUAGGUUAGCUUGUGGUCCCUCGGGGUCAUGAGCUCCGUGUAGCAUUUCGGUUCAGAAAAUCGAGGUGUUACAAUAAUACAUUACUUUUCCUCAUA